CCCUAAAUGUAAACAUGUAAGGGAGGCUCAUCUGCCAUCUUCCAGUUGGUUUACUGUGCACGGAGGAGUCCGCAGGCAUUCUGCCUCCUAGGAGACCUUCACAUGUGAGGUUGGAUAUUUACCAGGACACUCUCUAGGUGCAGGUGUCUCGUGUGAUGUCUGCAGAGACCACCAAAGUCGUCCAGAAGGUCUCAGGGUCCUCAGAAGAUUUUUCCAAUUUUUGUGUUUUCAUUUCCAGAAGAGUUUUUGAAAGUCGAGGACCAGUUAUUAAAAAAAAAAAAAAAAAAAAGGAAACAACAAGAGCCCCCCUCUCAGUGCUAUUUGCAGCGGAGAAGGGAUUCCUCAACGGCCAAGGGCUUCCCGCCGCCUCCCGCAGUCUGGGGCCAUGCCGCGGGGAUGGAGCACAGCCUUCGGAUUGAGGGAGAACUCGUGUCCCUGCAGAGGAAGCCCCACACGAGGCUGCAGGCUGAAACAGGUGCAUCUCCGCGGAGUCGGUGGCCCCGUGCAAGGACUGCUCUGACGUCUACACUGAGGUCUCUGUAAGGGGAGAGGACCCCUCACCGGCUCCGGCAGGGACUGGAACCGGCUGGUGGUUAAACAUGAUGCGGACGGAUCACCAAGUAUUAAAAAUGCUUCUGUUUCUGGCG
This is a long non-coding RNA of Suricata suricatta (meerkat), 647 nucleotides long. RefSeq lists it as uncharacterized. The transcript has 2 exons. Lineage: Eukaryota; Metazoa; Chordata; Mammalia; Carnivora; Herpestidae. The record is from RefSeq and is a predicted model, not a curated record.